RNAcentral lists this ribosomal RNA (505 nucleotides) under Trapezionida aff. acola. RNAcentral's name for it is "Munididae gen. 5 aff. acola partial large subunit ribosomal RNA". The stretch from base 390 to 505 matches the Rfam family "Bacterial large subunit ribosomal RNA", at positions 2473 to 2589 of the family's 2925-position model. Lineage: Eukaryota; Metazoa; Arthropoda; Malacostraca; Decapoda; Munididae. The record is from RNAcentral.
GUCUGUAUGAAGUUAUAUAGAGUCUAACCUGCCCAUUGAAUAAUUUUAAAAGGCCGCAGUAUAUUAACUGUGCAAAGGUAGCAUAAUCAUUAGUUUUUUAAUUGAAGGCUUGUAUGAAAGGUUGGACAAAGAAUAAUCUGUUUCUAUUUUUAUUUUUGAAUUUUACUUUUAAGUGAAAAGGCUUAAAUAAAUUUAAGGGACGAUAAGACCCUAUAAAUCUUUAUAUUAAAUUAAUUUUAAUUAAUUAAUAUUGUAGAGUUAAAUAAUAAUAAAUAAAUAUUAUGUUGGGGUGAUAAAAAUAUAAAAUAAACUGUUUUAAAAUUUAAACAAACUUGUUUGAAAAUACUAAUAGAUCCUUAAAAAAGAUUAAAAGUUUAAGUUACUUUAGGGAUAACAGCGUUAUUUUUUUUGAGAGUUCUUAUCGAAAAAAAAGUUUGCGACCUCGAUGUUGAAUUAAAAUUUCUUUAUGAUGUAGCAGUCAUAAAAGAAAGUCUGUUCGACUUUU